Long non-coding RNA from Haliotis rubra (blacklip abalone), 2218 nucleotides. RefSeq lists it as uncharacterized. The record is from RefSeq and is a predicted model, not a curated record. The transcript is spliced from 3 exons. Lineage: Eukaryota; Metazoa; Mollusca; Gastropoda; Lepetellida; Haliotidae.
GGAACAAAUAUGUGUAGCCGUGACAUUUCACUUUGUAUUAUGUAUUCUGUUUUAUUUAAAAUGUCAAUAGAAAAUCAUAUAGAAACAUUUCUUGGUGGUGUUAUACAGUUUUGUGGCCAACAGUAUUAUUUGUGCUUGUCCUGUGUAGGCCAGGUUAAUGAAUAUGCAUUUCACGUGCAUUUCAUGUUUAUGGGAAUCUUUGUUAUAACACGGAUGAUUUUGAUUGGUUGAUUGGAUCGUCUGCUUCAACAUGAUCAUACCUCGUGGUGUCUUGUGAGUUUCAUUGCAUUCUGAGGGCUGAUAAUGUGAGGUCGAGUCAGAGGAGUCACCAGAAUGGAAACCUUUCCUAAGUGUUCUGUUUGCCAUCAGCAGUUUACCCUGAAAGGCCCCGCCCCUGUCUACACGCUGUGUGUGAGACGUGUGUGACAUCUGCAGUUGGGUGUGUGAUAUCAUGCUCUACAUGUCAGAGGGAGGUCAACCUCAAAGACACAAGCCUCCAGAAGGAUGGAGCGAGACAGAAGGAAAUAUUCCACCUGACAGUCAAACAUCGCCCUACAGAGCUCCUCUGUACAACCAGGCUGUGUGUUGGUGUCGGGAGUGUGAAGAGUUCCUCUGUGAGUACUGCCUGAACAUGCACAGCCGUGUUAUAGCUACCAGAGGACAUGUUGUUGAAACCUUUACGGAUAAAACACGGGGAAGUAUGUACGCUGAAUCACAAUCGUUCACACUGGAGAGAUCAAUACAAGACGCACCGCACAUCAAUUCCACCAGUGAUGAACAGAACACCUGCAAACGGUUUCAUCACAAUGGGCCUUGAUAAAUUGAAAUCCGACAUAUCCGGGUUUGGGUGUGUCAAUGGAUAUGGCUCAGUACAAACAGGUACUUAAUUACUCUGAAAGUAUCUCUUUAUAUACCAUAUAUUUCCGAUUACAAUUUUUUUUAAGUUUAUAGUAGGAGUAAAUAUGUGAUGAUUAUUUAGGUGCAUUUACCUUGAUGUAGCUUUAAGAUGGGAUGAAGAAGAUGUUUGCUUUGUUCAAUCCUUGCAACAAGCCAGUGUGGUUUAAAAGAUUUGAUUUAUAAUCACUGGUGGUCAUUUUACAGGCAAAAGAACACAGACAGAUGGAAAUCAUCUAAUUGAUGCUGAGAGCACACACGGGCAUAAGUAUUUCUUAAUCAGUGAGCAUGAGUGUAUAGUUAUCGUUGUUUUCUAGGCAUUUAACCGUUGCUUAUAUGUUAGAUUUUAAACCAACCUACUGUUGUUUCAAUAUUGAUGAAUUUGGACAUAAUAUGUGUUUUUUUGUUACAAGCUGAAGUUCUUGGAGGUUCCUAACGAUCCAGCACCACUACCACGGUGUGCGUGGGUGUAUGUUGGAGAAGCUGGGCGUGAAACCUUCACACGUGAAGCAGGGACGACGACGACGGUGACACUACAGUGUGAGUACAAUCAGAUGCUAACUGUCUUCAACACUUGCUGAAACGACAUUGUCCGGACUUCAUAAACAGGAUACCAGACGAGGCGUGAAGUUCCGGGUUAGAAUUAGUCGUCAGCAUCCCAUGCUGUACUGGGCGUGACGUACACGGGAUGACGUACACGGGAUGACGUACACUGGAUGACGUACACUGGAUGACGUACACGGGAUGACGUACACGGGAUGACGUACUGGGCGUGCUGUACACGGGAUGACGUACACGGGAUGACGUACACGGGAUGACGUACACGGGAUGACGUACACGGGAUGCUGUACACUGGAUGCUGUACACUGGAUGCUGUACACUGGAUGCUGUACACUGGAUGACGUACACGGGAUGACGUACACGGGGUGACGUACACGGGGUGCUGUACUGGGCGUGCUGUACACGGGAUGCCGUACACUGUUUUUCGCCGCUUUUAGCAUAAUUGCAGCAAAAUCACGACGGGGGACACUAGAAAUGGGCUUCACACGUUUUACCCAUAUGGGGAAUUGAAACCGGGCCUUCGGCGUAACGAGGAAACGCUUGAACCAGUAAGCUACCCCACCGACCCCACCAUGUAGAGAUUAUAUUGUGUGUUUCGUGAACCGUCCUAUUUAUCACAUACAUCGUUGGUUGUCGGCUUACCAUUUUAAACAAUUACACAAAAUAGUACCGUAUGACCAGAAAUUAUCGAGAAUUUUUGGAAUAUGUUUAAUUGGAUGUCCAGUAUAAACAACCUUGACCAGCUAUCAAGUGCUUGGUUUCA